Telopea speciosissima is the source of this 206-nucleotide long non-coding RNA. RefSeq lists it as uncharacterized. The record is from RefSeq and is a predicted model, not a curated record. The transcript has 3 exons. NCBI's taxonomy places the organism in Eukaryota, Viridiplantae, Streptophyta, Magnoliopsida, Proteales, Proteaceae.
GAAUAUUUAUUGGAAGAGGUAUGCCAUAAAUGGGCCAAAGGGGAAUUGUAGGAAAAAGAUCUUUUAGAUUUCUUUCCUUUUUUACAAUUCCCUAAUCCUAAUAUCGUAAUCUUUUUUGUCACUACUUCUGGAUCGUAUAUACCGUAUUUGUAUAUAUUAUCAAAAUACAUUAUCUUGAACCACGCGUGGGGGUUAAGUACCAAAUA